UUACUAUUGAAAUGUUUUAUAAACUGUUUUACUAUCCAAACUUACUUAUAGACUGUGAUUCAAUCAAAUGCUUCUUAUAUAUUUAAACUGUUUUAUCAACUUAUGCCUUCGAAAUGUUUUAUAGAUCGACAUCAAGUCGAUCUUCUCUUGAAAUUAUAUUAACUGCUUCAAAUGUUUUAUGAAAACUUAUUUAUGCUUUUAUAUAUCCAAUUGCAUGCCCGUAUAUGUAUAGGUAUAUAAAUAAUGUUCAAAAGGCUUAGGAAUGCCAUCCGCCCUAUUUCCUUUUCCUCGAUUUGGAUGUGGUCUGGUGGGAUUUCGGGUGACCCUCCGAAGGUCAUUUCCAUAUUACUUAUAUAUCAUAUAUACAUGUAUAGACAUAAAAGUACUUCCAUAUUCAUACUCAUCAGUACAUCAUUAGCUGGUUACCAUCGGGGUAACGCAGGAUCAAUACAUAUACAGAUAUACUAGAAACAAUACAUAUACAGAUAUACGAGAAACAAUACAUAUACAGAUAUACUAGAAACAAUACAUAUACAGAUAUACGAGAAACAAUACAUAUACAUAUAUACGAGAAACAAUACAUAUACAGAUAUACGAGAAACAAUACAUNUGUUUACACUUUAGCCCUUCAACUAUAGUUCUGAAUUUCCGGGAUGUUAAAAUUCUCCCCCACUUAAAUUGGGCUUCAUCCUCGAAGCCUGUUGCAGCACAUAAAUCUGAAUAAUACGCCCACAAUGCACCUCCUGGUAUCGAACGACCCAGGUUCCUCCGAACACUGCUAUUAAACCUCUAUAGAGUCCAACUCUUCCCUCACGGAGUUACGACAACUGAUUCAAGCCGGCCACCGACUUCUUUCUUUGAUAACAACCCUUUAUUAACCAAUGAUCACCUGAUGAUACUUUCCUUACUCCAAAUCACAAUAAUCACUCGACUCUUGUAAGGCUAGAUAUCUCCUUGAGUCACCGGGUCCUGACCCGGUACCAACUGCUAUCCCUUACCUCGCUUGGCAUAACUUUAUCGAAUUUCACCGCUGGGACUCCUCCCGCUUCCAUUUCGAAUCCAACUCUUUUCUUUCCGCGCUGACAGGAUGACACAUCCUUCAGCUCCUGAGCAACUCCCAUGAGCUCUCCUUAGCAAUCACAUACACAUGCUGAACUUGCGCCAAGAUCGUCGGGGUGGAAAACCCAAAACACUGACGAUACCUCCAGACAUCCUCGUGAUGAAUUACGACUACAUACAUCACCUUCUGAUCAUAAUCCAUACAGAAAAUCCAAGGCUCCCUCCUUGCAUCCCUUACGAACUCCUCUAGUUCUACACUACCGGAAAUCCUUCCGUAACCUCAACAGACACCCACCCCGGAUGUGUUUCCAUACCAUUGGUACAAUCUCAGUACUUACUACCAAUAGCUGAAGCACCGACAAUAAUCCACUUAUUCCACUUCCUCCUCUUUUGAAGUACUCACGCUCCUUCUGGAGCUACAUGCCUUUUCUUUUCAGGAAAUCCACUCAUCCACCCUUACCGCACCGUCACGUGCCACUACUACACUUCACUCUACAUUAUCCAUGUAGAGCAACCGCUAUCAUCGAAAUUCCAUAUACUCUGAAUCUGCUCGCAAGGACCCUCGGGUCCAUGCACUGCUUUCCACUAACACGAUCAGUACUUGGGGCCAGACCAUAUCAAUUAUCAUCCCCUGGUGACGCUUUUUCCUCAUUCUCCUCGUAUCGAUCCACUAACACAUACUGAGUCUUCAGCAUGACUGGACCGCCUUACUAGGCCUUCAGCCUAUCUGGACUACUCUCGGAACCUUCAGCAUGUCUGGACUGCCCCCAUGGGCCUUCAGCCUGUCUGGAACAUUCUUAGAACCUUCAGCAUGUCUGGACCGCCUCUCUGGGCCUUCAGUCUGUCUGGACCGUUCCCUGAGCCUUCCGUACGACUGGUACGCCUUCCAGCCUUCAGUCUGUCCAGAUCGCUCAAACUGUCUUACGUCACCCUAUACCAUUCUUUUCGGGAAUCUCUCCCUUACAUACUGUUCUAGCCCUCUUGGGGUUCCAAACUCUAUCUCCAUCCCACCUACUCAGAUCCCGACCUAACCCUAGGCCUAACCUUGGUCUGUAUCCUGCCCCACUUGUCUGCCACUUACUCAUACCAGCCCACGCUCUUGGCUGAGUGAAACACUGUUGAAACCCACACAGUUAGUUGACCUCUCAUGCUGUCGAUCCACCUGAGAAAUUUCCAAUUCUCCCUACUUAGAGCACUGACUACCAACCACCGGUGACCCAACCGACAUCACUUAAAACAAUCCUACUCAACAAAUUCUCUUAUACUUGAAUUGGUUCUGAAACGAGCAACCUCCAUAAAAUUACGUUCCAACAUCGCCCAUCAUGAACUCUAAGGGAGUUCGACUCCCCGCUGAACACUAAUCAAAACACAAUCGCUAUACAUGACAACAAGACCAUACAACCAAAUUCUGACCAACAAUCCAUUGGCUGCUAACUGACUACAGCUCCUAGUUACUAACAUUCCCAAUACAAAAACCCCCGAUCAUACAAAACCGACGAAGGAACGAACGAAUACAAUACCAUGAAUCAUGCAAACGAGACUAGCGGAUAUAUCAUAUUCUAUAAUAACCAUGAGGUAACAAGAUAUCAAGAAGGAAACACAACCGCGGCUGCAUCCGGCUCUGCCCUGUCCUCCUCUACAAUAAGCUGAAAAGAACGUCCCUGAGCCCUCGGGGGCUCCGCUCCACCCUAACCUCCACCCGUAAUCCUCAGAGUGGCCAAUGCUGGAGCCUGCACUGGUCUUGCAGUAAGCUGUGGACAGUUGGCCCUCAUGUACCCCACCUGAUGGCACUGAUAACAAAUCCUCAUAUCCUGAACCGGGGCUGACUGUCGACAAUCCCUCGCAUAAUGCCUCUCUUUCCUAUACUUGCGGCACGCACCAUUGGACCUACAAACUUCAGUGUGACCCUUCCCACACUUCCCACAAGUGUGGCUGCCCUUAUCUCCCAACCUAGAAUCAACAGUCUUGGACCGUUUCGACGCCGGUUGCGACUGCACCGGGGCCCGCCUCUACUCUCGCAACUGCAACUCAAUCUCUAACUCACGCCGCCUGGCGGCCUCCUACAACUCUAACAAGGUAUCACAUCUCUGCGUAGACAAAAACUGUCUAAUAUCCCUCUUGAGCAUACUCAGAUACCGGGUCAUCUGAGCCUGCUCCGAAGCAAAUUCAGGGAAAAACAUCGCCCUCUAUGUGAAAAUCUUGGUGAUUUCCGUCACCGACUCAAAACCCCGCUUCAGCUCCAAAAACUCCUGAGCCAAUCUCUCCUGCUCCACCCGCGGAAUACAACGAGUACUGAACAUGUCUCAGAACUGAUCCCAAGUAACCGCAGCCUGCUGCGCAUCAAAAUAAGAUCAUGUAGUCAACCUCCACCAAUCCUUCGCCCCGAGCCUUAACAAGUUCAGAGCACACCUCACCCUCUGAUCAACGGGGCAUGAACACGUGAAGAAACACCCCUCCACGUCUGACAACCAUCGCAUAGCAACAAUCGGAUCCUGAACUCCAUCAAAGGUAGGGGCUUCGUAUUAUCGAAGUCCCGAUACUGAAAACCUCUAUCGACUCCUCCUCCUGCCGCUGCUACAGCCACUGUAGCCGCCAUGGUAGCCGUCUCCGUAAGAGUUGCAUAGCGCUCAUCAAAGUACUCAACCAUAGCGGUCUUGAUCGACCCAAAUAGUUCCGGUAACUCGGCCCGGAACAUCGCAGCAACCUCAUCAUGUAGGAUCUCUCGAAUCCUGGUGUCCAACUCAUCCAUGCUCAUCUGACCGAUGACCUCGGGUGGCAUCGAUCCACCCUGACCGCCCUCUCCUGCUCCCGAUCCUGACCCGGAUCCACUCCCAGCAUGCCUCGUAACCACCAUAAUGAAAACACCGCAAAACAUCAGAUACUUCCCACUUACCUGGGAACCAACUCCCAACCCAACCCUAGGGGUUGUGACUUCCUUGAUAUGCGUAUGGGUCCUGUGCUUUCAGUAGUACGGGCCCAUACUACCUUCCACACCUACCCAUAGUUAUAUCAAGUAUCACCACAAACACCCUAAUCCAGAACAUACAUAACAAGCAAUCAACCCUCACCCCUAGAGGAACACUGAAAAUCUCAUACAGGAGGAAUCCUAGGCUAGCAGGCAUCAUAAAUCAGGCAACUCUAUCAUGCAAUUCCUGAACAUCCCUAGCCUAGUACUAGCAUGUUGUUCUAUCGUAUCUCAUAAACGGAUAACUUGUAUGGUAUUUUGGGGAUACUUAUUGGCUCCGGCUGAUCGUACCUUCACGUCCACCUUUAUUCAUUUUUGAAAACCAUUUUAAAUUCUUUUUUUAAAAAUCUCCUUGAUUUGAGACUAGAUUCACACAAAUGUUCCCCCAAUUCACUCAAACCAAGGCUCUGAUACAAACUUGUAACUUCCUAAAAACUCAAACCAAUUUAAACUUUUCAAAAACAACCCAUUUUCAUUAAUUCAUUACAAAAAGGUUUUCAAUUCGUUCAUUAUCAGAGUAUUUCCCAGAAUCACAUCAAAAGUACAUAAAACAUGAGGAGCGGUACGAUCACGCCUUCGCCUUGCCACGAUCUCCUGAAGUACCUGAAACAAUACACUGAAAACUCUAAGCCUGAAAGCUUAGUGAGUUACCCCUAAAAUACCAACCAUAAUACCAUACACAUAUCAUAUCAUAAACACAGAAUAGAACAGCCAUGCACUUCGGGUCUACUGUGUGACUGGUCCGCCGCACCAGGCCUACAGUCCACCUGGUCCACCCUCCGGGUCUAGCCAUAUACAUCGAGUCUCCAGUGUGAUUGGUCCGACCGCACCGGGCCUUUAAUCCACCUGGUCCACUCUUUGAGUCUAUAGUAUGACUGGUCAGCCCGCACCGGGCCUUCAGUCGGCCUAGUCCACUCUCCGAGCCUCGGUACGUCUGGUCCGCCCUUUUGGGCCUACAACCUAUCCAGACCGCUCGCUGGGCCUUCGGGAUAACCAGUCCGCCCUGGGUAUGUUGGCCUACAACACAAAGCAGGACCCGCCUCAACCCAACCCCAGUCCAACAACCAUGUGCACAUAAACAUAUAAUCAUAUAGCAAUUCACAAUUAAUCAAUCAAUCUAGCAGAUCACAUACAUAGCAGGGUACCGACCUAACCGGUCAAUAGCAUAGCAUCAUCCUAUAACCCAGGAUACCGACCCUAACCAGGUCUCUAACAUAUAACAUCCUAACUAACAGGAUGCAAACAUAGCAAGCAAUAACAUGAUAACACCUACCCGAAUUUCCAUCCGAUAAAAGGGUCGGCCUUGGUGCCGUAGACUCUGUCAGUAUAGUGAGGAUAACUCACCUCGCAAUUGUUGACUGAAGAGAUAAGAUCACGCUGCUCCAACCUCUCACACGAACACCACCACUAGACAACACCAAAUUACUGAACUCAGUAAAUAUACCCAAUUACCAAAAUACCCCUGGAAGUCAACUGGUCAACUCUUGGUCAAUGUCAAAGUCCUCAGUCCUAGUCAAACUUCCUGACUGACUCUACUCGCCGAGUCAACCCGCUGACUCGGCGAGUCCGUAUGCUCUGAGAACCCCCAUAUCGCGACUCAACUCGUCGAGUCAAUCCGAUGACUCGUCGAGUUCCUAUGCUCUGAAAACUCUCAUGUCUCGACUCAACUCGCUAAGUCGCCCCAAGACUCGUCGAGUUCAAGGAACUUCGAGUCCUUUCCUGUUCAACACACCGAGUCGUCCCUCGACUCACCGAUUCGCGACUUAACCAGAAAAGUUAGGGUCCCAUGACCAGACUCGCCGAGUCUAAGAACAGACUCGCCGAUUUCAAGGCAAUCUUCAACAGACUCUCUGAGUUGUUCUUUCUACUCGUCGAGUCCCUGCCUAUCUUCAUGCAACUCGCUGAGUACACCUAUGUGACUCGUUGAGUACCUCUAGUUCAUAAUCCAUACAGUGGCUUUCUAAGCCAUGCAGGGACUCAAAUCCAUAGAUCUACUCCUCUACAAACCACCCAUCACGUAAAGUGGCAGACUUUACGUGAAUCCAAAGAGAUCUAAGCAUAAAACACUCAAGGGCUAGUUUUUGGGAGAACAGGGCUUCACCAAGAACUCUUGGGCAUACACUUUAUGGCUUCCUGGACCAUUUCAAGUCCAGAUCUGAGGUAGCAAACUCUAAUCCAACCUUCAAACCCGAAAUGGAUUCUAACAAGCUAAAAACCCCAAAUUAACAACCCAACAAUAGAUCUUGAAGAGAAAUACUCAAGGUGAUGACUUGUUACCUCAGAAAUGUGCCCAAGAAGGAGUAGAUUUUGGAUCUACACAAGCCCCUUGAUGAUGGUCUCCAAACCACCAAGCUUCUUACACAAAACCUCUCUUCCAAGCUCUAACUCUUCAUCAAUGGAGUCAGACACACAAGUUGAGGAUUCUCUGGAUCUCAAAUGGCAGUAAAGAGGCUGAAGGUGGCUAUGAUGUGCUUUAUAUAUGGCACAAACCCCGGAUUAAGAUUUUUCUCCCUUCAGCACCAACUCGCCGAGUCCCAGAUAUUUACUCGCCGAGUUGGUCACUUAACGCAUGACCAAAAUCGCGACUCGACUCGCCGAGUCUAUCCAUUGACUCGCCGAGUCGACCUUCUUGUUUACACUUUAGCCCUUCAACUAUAGUUCUGAAUUUCCGGGAGGUUAAAAUUCUCCCCCACUUUAAUUGGGCUUCGUCCUCGAAGCCUGUUGCAGCACAUAAAUCUGAAUAAUACUCCCACAAUGCACCUCCUGGUAUCGAACGGCCCAGGUUCCUCCGAACACUACUAUUAAACCUCUAUAGAGUCCAACUCUUCCCUCACGGAGUUACGACAAUUGAUUCAAGCCGGCCACCGACUUCUUUCUCUAAUAACAACCCUUUAUUAACCAAUGAUCACCUGAUGAUACUUUCCUUACUCCAAAUCACAAUAAUCACUCGACUCUUGUAAGGCUAGAUAUCUCCUUGAGUCACCGGGUCCUGACCCGGUACCAACUGCUAUCCCUUACCUCGCUUGGCAUAACUUUAUCGAAUUUCACUGUUGGGACUCCUCCCGCUUCCAUUCCGAAUCAUCCUAAAAGAACCUAAAGAAAACAUUCCUUAUAAACUGGGAACUCUAAUAACCAUCUAAUAACCACACAAAUAAUGCAUUUUCUCAUUCCAUAUAAAAUGUAAAUAUGGAAUGGGAAAAAGGUUGCAGAAAAGGAAGGUAUUGCCCUAUUGCCACACAUUACCACAUAGUCAAUCACAAUACUUUUAGAAAAUGUUGCACUAACACCAACAUCUUGCUUAUACAAGAAAAAUGUUUCAGUUCUUCAACAAACUUCUUCUUGAGACCAAACUGAUCUACAGAAAAAUAAACUUCAAAUUUCUGAAAAAAUAAGUCCAUAACUAAUAGUAACAAAAGUCUAUAUUGAUUAGCCUCUCUCAAUCGAGAUGAACAAGAGAAAGAUGACACCAUUAGGUACGAACGUUCAAACUCAAUGCAAGUAUUUUAAAUUUUAAAUGCAUCAAAACAAUUGUAACGAUGCCAAACCUGUAGUGCUGAAUUAAUCAUCAUGUUAUAUCAUGCAUCUGAUGGAACUUGCGAACUAACACCGGUAGCUUCUGAAAGAAGGCUUUGUACAAAAUUAGAGAUAAAAUCUUAAAGAUGAAAAACUUCAAACCGACGUCAUACGACAAAAACAUCUUUCGACCAAAAAAUGCACUACGGGGGGUAUUAAAUUUUUAAAAUACAUUACGGUAUUAUAGUCAUGAAAAUACGUUACGAUAUUAAAUUUUUGAAAAACUAGAUCUUCAAAAAUUCUUCAACAAACGACUCGGGUUCCCAACACUCUUAAAGCCGAAAGCCUCUAAAAAUUAGCCAAAGAAAGAAUAAUAACCAAAAAAUACAAAACAGUUUAAAUCCACAAUGAGGACCGGUUGAUUGUGGAUAAUUCCAAACAUCUAUAUGCUCCAAAAGAAUAUAAAACAUCAUUAUAAUCAACUUGAAGAUAUAUCUUCAUAUGCCAAAAACAGAACUCCAAAAACAAAAUUUCAUAUAUGAUUUAGGUUUGAAACAAAUCAAUUAAUAAAGACAAAAAAUCAAUUUAUGAAAAUCAGGAGAACUCAACCUUAAGAGAGAAAAUUAAUUGUAAAAUAGCAUAAAAGUUACUACGUUUACGAUAUAUUACAAUUCUGAUUAUUUAACCGGUCAACCUGAUUGUCUGUUGAAAUAGCACCAUGACGUGACAUGCUAAUAUGUCAGCAUUGAAAAAUUUUCAAUGUUGGACCAUNNNNNNNNNNNNNNNNNNNNNNNNNNNNNNNNNNNUAUAUAUAUAUAUAUAUAUAUAUAUAUAUUAAAAAUAGCGUAGGCGUAGCUCACUUACAACGGGUUUUAUAGAACACUUAGCUUUUCUUGGAGCAGCGUUCCCGAGCCGAAAAACUCUUCUUCUCGGAGCUGUCGAGCACUCUAGGGCUUCCGCCUCGUGCUAGGGAGGUUCCCUAGGCUUUUCGGGGGUUUCGGGGCUAGAUAGAGGUUUUAGAGAGAGAGUAAAGAGAAGAAAGAAGGAGAAAGGUGUGAAGAAAAUGAGGGUGAGAGAGGUUGUAUUUAUAGGGUGAAAAUGGCUGAACUUGGUGCCACAUGCCACCAUCUAGUGACAAGACUUGGGGAGAAAGCAAUGGCCAAGAUUGUGUCACAUCACCCAUUUUCGCACAACACACUUCCGACUUCUAAAAUCCGUAAUGUUCACAUACGACCUCCGUUUUUGACGUUCUUUAUAUCAACGCGUAGGUAAAAAUAAGAUCUACAACUUUCAUUUUGACUCCGUCGGCUAAUUCUUGACCGAUCUUAAAUUUAACAGUACGAGGAGAUUAUACUGUUAAAUGUCCGCGUAAAAUUUAUAACUUCUACAUACAGACUCUGUUUUCGUCCGUCUUUUUAGCGUUGAGUUCCUAUUAAUGAGAUAUUCAAUUCUCCUUUAAUUCGCGUAGGCCAAAAACCACUCGAUCUAAAAUUCGAGUUUCGAGCUGUGCACUACUAAGCCAAAUCUUAGAAAAUUCAUAACUUCCUCAUACGAAGUCAGAUUUGGGCGUUCUUUUUAUGGACGCUCUCAGGUUAACAUAUUCUACGACUUUUGUUUAGAUCACCAAGGCCAAAGAGUUGUCUAUCGUAAAUUCACUAUUUACGUCGCGUCGUGUCGUGCCGGUUUUGCCGUAAAACUUCGACGGGCCAUAACUUCUUUGUUAUAACUCGGAUUUUGACGUUCUUUAUAUGUACGGAACCCUUGAGACAUAUUCUGCAUCUUGGUUAAGAUUAUUUAUUCGAAUUAAUCUUUUGUCGAAAAGUCAUUUUCGACCCCUAUUAUCUCUAAAUUGACUAGCCCGGAUCUACAGGCAUUACAAUUAUCUUCCCCUUAGGAUGAUUACGUCCUUGAAUCAACAACGAAACAGGGCUCACAUGAUGACUCCAUACGUUAUCUUUUCAUCAUAGGUAAUAACUAUAACUUCGAUGUUGCUUCGAACAAGUUUCUAACUCUUGGACUCCUUGACUGCAGGCAGUGCUUGAUCUUGCACUUGCUCCGUAUCUCACGUUAGACUCCAAAUUAUGACCUUCAAGUCACGGUAUCUGUCCUUAAUGGAGACUCCUUCUUCUUAACAAACUUAAGAUAAAUAUAUUUGAUUGCUACAAUAGGCCGAUAUGUCACGUUCUAAUGACCUCUCAUCGUAUGUUGCAACACUCAGACUCAGGUUUCUUAGAGUCAAAUUCCAGAAUAGACUAUACCUUCCUUCAUGUUCUAAUGUGAUACAGUCACAUUUCAACAUGUAGCAUUUCUAGCUACCAACUUCUUUAACAAUCAUCGCGAUACUUCUACUGAUCGCCUUGGUUAGCUUUCAUUUGAAUAUUGUGGGUUAAGUCAGAUGCUACAUCGAACUUGGUUCUCUGAACCACAUAUCAUACUCAUCGUAGUCGGACUCAAUUUGAUAUGACCACUAGGGUUGGAAUAACAACAAUCUUCUUAGUCAUUACCGAAACGAUGGUAAUGACAUGCUUGAAUAAAACGGAAUCAAUUAUUGGUUUCUUGCUAACCUUGUGACUUUCCCUGAUCCAAGCGUGAGUCAUGUGCUUCCGGUAGUAUAUGCAUCUACUACCUUUCACACCUACUCAUACUUGUCCCAAGUAUUGUCUCGCAGUCCCCAAGUCCUAAAAUCACAAAACAAUUUAACACAUAUGAGUGUAUCCAAAUAAUCAUACAAAUUUCCCUAGACUCUACUAGGACUUCUUCCAUGCGUAUCUUCAAUCAUCAAUUCUGCUUCAACUCGGUUGGUGAUGGAAACGUCAGACGAUGGGAAAACUACAUGGAUUAUACCAAUAAUCUUUCUUUCUGCUGAUCGAACAUGUACUUCUCUCGUACUAGACGUAUUAUUUAUUAGAUGCAUUCUAAAGGCAUGAUAUAACUCUUAUGAUAUCUCCCGAUAGGUAUCAUUCACUAUCAUAAGCCAUCUCAUUUCCUCUAUUUUCUCAGUCUAUCAUGGUUCGCAUCACUUUCUAAACUUCUGUCAUUGUGAUAGGUUCGGGUGCAGGCGCAAUGACCGAUGCAUGACCCAUCACAUUCUUAGGCUUAGGUUGUCAUCUUCCUCGGAUAUUUCCUAGUCUGUCUUCACCAUGACGUUUUGUACACCCAAGUCGACGUUCGGUGUACUGAGGCGAGAAUUUUAAGAUAGGAAAUAUUUUAUUUACGAUAGACGUAUAGAUCUCCUUGUCACACCGAAAAACUUAUAUGCCAGUUCUACUACCGUAAUCAAACGUUUAGAAAUUUGAACACAUAAAAUUUCCAGAUCCUGUCGGCAAUAGACCAUAGAUCUGAACAAAUAAUAGCAUAUAAGGUACGUUUAUAGCUAUAACAAAAAACAUUUAGCACAUAAAACAUUUUAUGCAUCUUUCCUAAAAUAAACUAGUGGUUGUGUAUAAAAUAUAGCAGACACUCAUCUCACAAUCAUCAUUUAGCAUUCUAAGUUUAAGUCUAGAAAUUUCCUACAAAUUCCUAGUUCGCUUAAACUAAUGCUCUGAUACCAACUGUGACAUCCCCAUUUUCACGGUCAGAAAAGACCGAUUUUGUUUAUGCUUUAUAAAAAUCAGAGUACUUCUUUUAAUAAAAAUGUUGCGGAAUUUGUUCCUAGAAAAACAUGAUAAAUACAUUAUCAAAGCAUUUCCGAAGAAAUGUAUUUUUAUUCAUUUAAAACAUUUGGGAUGUCAUUGUCAAUACAGAAACAUAAGCAUAAACAGAACUUACAUUCAUUUACACUAGUGAUCUACAUCUCUUUUAAAUCUCUAAGUGCAAAGUAGCUUCGUAUCGACACCUGUGACACAAAUAAGUUGGAGUGGGUCAGGUUGGGAAACCUGGUGAGUAUAUAGGGUUUUCAACCCACAAUAAUAUAAUUAUUAUCUUUAACAAUCAAACAAUCGACCCAAUUACCCAUCCCCAUUAUCUUCUUUACUCUUAAGGAUCUACCCUAAGAAUCAGCUAUUCCUCGUUCAUUCAUUCCUAAGGAUUCGGCAAGAAAUCCAUCGUUGCCACGGUUUACACAACGGGCACUAAGUCUACAUUGUCGCCAGGGUUUAGGCAUCAAAUCUGCAUGAUCACCAAGGUUUAGGCAUUAAGUCUGCAUGAUCACCAAGGUUUAGGCAUCAAGUCUGCAUGAUCACCAAGGUUUAGGCAUCAAGUCUGCAUGGUCACCAAGGUUUAGAGUACACCGGGUGAACACAUUGUUCACAACACCUACAGGUUGUGAGCCUGCUAGUGUUCCACUAGACUGUCUAGAAUACUCUUUGGUUGUCAUCCAUACUCUGCUGAAUGACAGGGCCAUCAUUUGGGAAAGGCUUCUCACAUUGUCCACCUCUCACCCUCACCUCGUGGUCUAUAACACCUCUCAACUCAUCAUCCAACUCAUAUUCCAUCUAUUACAUCUAUCCAUGUUUUUCCCCAACAUUAUCAUAGAUAUAAAAUACAUAUACAGUUUAAAUCAUUUAAAUCAUGUAUAAAAUCGUACAUCCAACAUAAACAACAAGUAUUCAGAUAAUAAGCACACAUAACACGUAAUUUAUAUAAAAUACUUCAUAUCUAUGUGUAAGCUGAAAGGGAGCAUGCACUCACUUGAAAAUGUGGUGAUUCCGAACUCAGACAGCGCUUCGCUUCUUAAAAAAAUAAUUUUCUUCGACGAAACCUAUUAUUAUUACCAUUAGAGUUUAGUAUAUUAUUCGCCGAANACUAAUUAAUAGUCUAGCUAUUAUUACUAUUAUAUAAGUGUUAAACAAUACUUAUAUAACCCAUAAUAAUAGCCCAAGUGCUUAUUAUAAGUUACUAAUAACGUUACUAUAAUUAAAUAAAAGCUAUAUUAAAAAUAGCGUAGGUGUAGCUCACCUACAUCGAGUUUUAUAGAACACUGGGCUUUGCUUGGAGCAACGUUCCCGACCCGAAAAGCUCUUCUUCUCGGAGCCGUUGACCACUCUGGGGCUUCCGCCCCGUGCUUGGGAGGUUCCCUAGGCUUUUCGGGGGGUUUCGGGGCUAGAGAUAGGUUCUAGAGAGAGAGAGAGAGAGUAAAGAGAAGAAAAAAUGGGAAAGGUGUGAAGAAAAUGAGGGUGGGAGAGGUUAUAUUAAUAGGGUGAAAAAUGGCUGAAAUUAGUGUUACAUGUCACCAUCUAGUGGCAAGACUUAAGGAGAAAGCAAUGGCCAAGAUUGUGCCACAUCACCCAUUUUCGCACAACAUACUUCCGAAUUCUAAAAUCUGUAAUUUUCACAUACGACCUCCGUUUCUGACGUUCUUUAUAUCCACGCGUAGAUAAAAAAUAAGAUCUACAACUUUCAUUUUGACUCCGUCGGCUAAUUCUCGACCGAUCUUAAAUUUAACAGUACGAGGAGAUUAUACUGUUAAAUGUCCGCGUAAAAUUCAUAUCUUCUACAUACGGAAUCUGUUUCCGUCCGUCUUUUUACUGUUAAGUUCCUAUUAAUGAGAUCUUCAAUUCUCAUUUAGGUCGCAUAGGCCAAAAACCACUCGAUCUAAAAUUCAAGUUUCGAGCUGUGCACUUCUUAGCCAAAUCUUAGAAAAUUCAUAACUUCCUCAUACGAAGUUAGAUUUGGGCGUUCUUUUUAUGGAUGCUCUCAGGUUAACACAUUAUACGACUUUUGUUUAGAUCACCAAGGCCAAAAUGUCUUCUAUCGUAAAUUCACUAUUUGCGUCGCGUCGUGUCGUGCCGGUUUUGCCGUAAAACUUCGAUGUGCCUUAGCUUCUUCGUUAUAACUCGGAUUUUGACGUUCUUUAUAUGUACGGAAACCUUGAGACAUAUUCUUCAUCUUGGUUAAGAUUAUUUAUUGUAAAUAAUCUUUUGUCGAAAAGUCGUUUUCGACCCCUAUUAUCUCUAAAUUGACUAGCCCGGAUCUACAGGCGUUGCAUCAUACUUCACUUCCUCCACUUCCUCCAAUUAUUCUCCCUAACCCACAAUUUCAAGGUCACUUAAGCCCUAUUGGCAAGCAAGGUCUAUGUGUGUGUAACACCCCGAAGUUCGUACCAUCAUUUGUAAUCCUUUUCGUAACCCUUUUCGUUAAUCCAUUCGUCGUUUUCAAUUUUGUUUCCGUUUACGGAAUUAAAUUAAGUCAUUUAUUUGAGAUUAUUAUUAUGAAUUAAUGGGUGUACCAACGCAUUUAGAACUCAUAUUAACACCCCAUUCUAGUAAUCGGAAUAUUUUUAGAAUCGACCAUAUCGGGUUACGGCAACUUGAUCGGGUGCGACCAAAAGCCACGUCUAACGUCGGUAUCGGGUAGAAUUCCAUCGUGUCCAAAUCUUGAACACUAUUUAAAGUGGUUUAAGCUUCCAUUUGAAGCUUUUUCUCUCUCUCUCUCUCUCACUACUCUCUCUCUAACCUCUCUCCUCAAACCUAAUAACUAGGUCCAAAAACUUCAAUUUAAGGCUCAAAUUCAUCAAGGUAACCUCCCUAACUUGUUAUUCAACCUCUUCAGCUCCCAAAUCCGAGUUUAAUCAAUGAUUUAGGACCAUAUUGAUGAGUUUACGGCCCUGGAGCAUGCUUGGACCGUAAACACAUAAUAAGUGGGUUUUUGAGCCUUAGAACCCCUCCAAACCAAUCUUGGGACUUAGAUAUGACUUUAUGGCUUACCAAUUCGGACUUAGAACACCUUAAACACCAUUUUUGAGGAGUAAACAUGGGUUUGCUGCCCAAGAACAUGCUUGGGCCGUAACUCAUCUUCAUGGAGAGUAAACUCAAAACCAAGUGUUUAAAAGCCAUUUAAACACACCAAUAGCCUUGGAAUAAAUUCUAGAACCAACCACAAUCAUUUUGGGGACCUUAAACACAAUGAAAAUUACUCCUUUGAGUGUUCAUGGCCGUAAACCCCCCAAGAAUGGGUUCCUGGGCCGUGAACUCACAUACAUAAGUCAAAUGGUGCCCAAAAUUCAUUCUAAGACUUGAAAAUUUUGUUUGAAUCACAUGUUUUGGUCUAAGGCAAUUAAAUCAUCAAUUUAAGAAAGGUAUAGGAGCUUACGGCCGUAAACUCCCUUUGAUGGUUCCUUUGGUGGUUUAAUUCAUUCCCAUGCCUUAGAUAAAAUCGUACCAACAUUAUCCAAGUGAUAUUUGACCAUUUAGCACCAUAAAACUUAUCAACCAUGAGUUCACGGCCGUGAACUCAUGUGGUUACAGUCUUAGGGCCGUAAACUCCCUAAGGUGUUUACUCUUGAAGAGUAAACUCCAUUCCUAAGCCAUACAUGUCCGUAGAUGUCACCUGGGUCACUCCAAACACUUGAUUUGAAGUAUUUUCGCUCAUUGGAGUGUAUUAUCAUGUCUAAUUAGUGGUUUAAAGUCUAAUUAGAUACAUUUGUAUACCAUUUCAUAUUACAUAGGAACCUCGCACGUUAUCAAUCCCCGAAUCGACACUUAGCAUUCAACCGUCGCGUUUUCUCGUCUGGUGAGUUCAUACGCCUACCCUUUUUCAAUGUUUUUCACUAUUUUCAGGGGGGAUACAAGCAAAGUACAAGGGAUACUUGUACUCAAAAAUUGUUUUACAUGUGUUGUGUUUCAUAUUACAUAUGCUUUUAACACUAAUAAUCGUAACAGAUAACCGUUUGAACUUGCAGAACACUUAUUCAGUUUAUUUGUGAAAUACGUUAUAAAAUGUAGUAUUUUAUAUUUUCACAAAUGGUUUUCCACAUUAUAUCAGUUAAAAGCAUGACAUUUGAACUUUGAACAUGGAACUUAGUACAUUGUUUUGUCCUCGGUAACACUCCAUAGAGAUACGCGAGUGGAGGAUUAUUGUUCAUAAUAGGAACUUUCUGUAUUAUUACUAGUAAAUUUGUUAUACCUAUAAAUUGGAGACACGUCCUCGGUGAACACUCCACAGAGAUACGCGAGUGGAGGACCGCAACCGUAACUAGAAUCUCUUAGAUAGGGAGCAUGACUUGAGUGUAUAGAUCUAUACGGGGUUGACUACCCCACACCUGGCUGCUAGCUACAGCCGAAUCGAAAGGUUCAAGGGUGACGAAAGUCAUAAGGUGAUGUGGACUACUUAUUGCCAUAUCUAGUCUAUCGUAUGGUUAUGGAACUUGCAAUUAGGAUAACAAAGAUUUACUAAAUAGUAAUAAUGAAUAAAGUAAUUAAAUUACUUUGUACAUAUUAGUUUUAUAUAUGUGUUAAAACUAAUACAUUUCACAAAGACAACCAGGUUUUCAGUAUACAUCUUUCACAUUGGUAACCAACAUUCAGGAAAAUAUGGGAUUUUCCUGGGGUAACAUUUGUACAUAACCAGAAACGUGUAACAAACCAGAUAACUAAACUUUAUAAUUCAUAAGGGUAAACAUGUUUUUCAGUGUACAUCUUUUACAUUACAUUUUGGGAUUCAAUAACCAAAUUUUAUGAAAAUAUGGGAUUUUCUUGGUUUGUAUCAUUUUCAGAAACAGAAAGGAACUUGUACAUUUUCAGAAAACAAAACCGCUUAUGAACUCACCUGCGUUAUGCUGAUUUUCAAACUGCUUGUAUUCUCAAGUCCGCAUUAGACAGGUACCCGAUGAUUCCUUUUGGUGAAGACGGAGUGCGUAGAAGACUCGUCUCACUUUUGUUCAUAUAUAUUAUGUAUCACACUUGUACAACUUUACUUUCAAACAAAUGUAAACUUUUAUAUGUAAUGUAAUGGUUGUUUACUUUGCUUACUAUGUUCAUUGGAUUUGAUACUCAACGUGGAGUCAACCCCGUAAAUGUUUCCACCUUCGGUUUUUGGAGUGUGACAGUAUGAUCACAUUUUGGAGAUGAAGUCAUAUAUUGACAGACUGGGAGAGUUGGGUGUCAAUGUCUUGAGAAAGUUGGUUGAACAAUCACUUUCUAAGCCACAUAGUGUGUUCCUUUGGGACUACUAUGAAACAAACUAUGACAUGACCCUUAAUGAUCUUAUCUAUUUGCUUGGUGCUGCUGAAUCAACAAUGAUUUGGAGGACUAGUAAUGCAAAUUUUAUUAGAAGAUCAACUUCCCAAACUUCCAUGGACAUUGACAAUGGUAACAUUGAAAAUCUGGAAAAGCUUUCUCUUCCCAAUGGAAAGGGAUCGGCCAUGCUCAACUUGGUUGACCAAAUGGUAAAGAGAAAGGCUAAGUCUUAGAUAGUCCCAUGUACCAUUUCAAAGAGUCAAUAUGUUCUAUUUCUGUGACAACCCGAAAUUUCCAAUUGUAUGAACAUCAUCUAUUCAAUAGAAGCUAGUUCAGUUUCUGUGAUUUUCAAGCUUUUCCAAACAAGUUUGUGUACAUUAGGGUUUAUGUUUUAGAUGAUAUCAGGAGAGUGGAUACUCCUGGUUUUGUGAAACUUGGGCAUUUCAAGUUUCAUAAUGUUACAGUCCAACAUCAGGAAUGAAAAUAUUUUCUGCCAAAAUAUUCCAGGACUAUAAAUAGUUUUCUGAAUUAAAUUAAUCCAUUAUUCACAAUUCCAAAUUGAGAAAAGCCAUAUUCUCUCUGACGGAUCUUCGGGUUUUCAUCCCAGAUUGUGAGUCUACUUUUCUAUAUGUGUUUCAAUACUUGUUUAAUGCAUAUUAGCAACAAUAACAUGUCUAGAUGUCAAGAUCCGGGAGUUUACCGCCCAAGAACGUUCUUGGGGAGUAAACUCCAAAAUGGAGCUCUAAUGCUUUCUAGACCCAUUCCUAUGUUAGAGGACUUGUUUAGGAGUUAGAGUAUGAUCUUUAAAGGCCAAAAAGCAUCCAAGAAACAUAAGUCUUUGGAGUUUACGGCCAAGGAACUCCCUUGGGCCGUAAACCCCUUUUUAAGGGCAAUUAGUGCCCUAAACUCCCCCUAAUGCUUAAAGACCUUUACCCUAAAUUGCUUGUGCUUAUUUUAGGCAUCAAAAGACAUCAAAUGCAUAAGUUUCUAGGAGUUUACGGCCAAGGAACUCCCUUGGGCCGUAAACCCCUUUUCAAGAGCUUAAAUGCCCUAAAACUUUCCCCAAAUGCUUAAGGACCUUAACCACUAGUGCUUGUGCUUGUUUAGAACACCAAAAGCCCAUAAAAACCAUAAGUUUUUAGGAGUUUACGGCCAAGGAACUCCCUUGGGCCGUAAACCCCUUUUUGUGGGACAAAAAUCAUUCCAAGCUAUCCUUAAGCCUCUAGACAAUUUACCUUGCACCUUUGGGACUAGAAUGGAGAGAAGAACACAUAGAAACAACUCCUUGGAAGGAGUUUACGGCCAAGGAACAUGACUUGGGCCGUAAACUCCAAGUGAAGGCACCAAAGUGUGCCUCUUGUCCCCAUUAGCCUUAGAUAAAAUCAUGGAUGCCAUUCUUGAUGUUUAAGUGCCUCAAAUCAAUUAAUUUCCUAGAGUUUACGGCCGUAAACUCUAAGGUGAAGGACCUUAGGCCGUAAACUCCCUUAUGGAGUGUUCUAGAGCCUUAAAACUACUUCAUGCAUUAUUCCAAUAAAGAUAGGAGUGUUCUAGAUGCAAGAUAACACCACAAAACACCCAAAAACACCAUUUGAGGAGUUCACGGCCAUAAACCUAUGAGUUUACGGCCGUAAACUCCAAGGUGUGGGGUUUGUUGGAUGGUGAACUCCUAUACAAGGCUAUUUGAUGUUUCAAACCCUUUUGCCUUGUCCCGUAGCAACUUAGAUGCAACCAUUUGGACCCUAAACACUCAUAAAAGUGUUUAAAUGUUUUCUAAGUGUCUUAACUUAUUUAAUUAAGUUUUUAUGUGUCUAAUUAGUUAUAUAUAUGUUUAUUAUAUGAUAACUAGGCUCGUGCGUGUAAACCAGUCUCCGUUUGUCACCUAGCACGGUAGCCGAAACUGCAAUUCAAACGACUCACCACAAGUGAGUUCAUACCCCUUGAAUCAACCUUUGAAAUGAUUUUAAGUGUUUUAAAUACUUUAUGGGGGGGAUUACAAGUCAAAUACUUAUAAUUUAUUGCUUCAAUCACAUGUGAUUGCAUUUAAUCACAUGUGAUUAAUAACUAGGAAAACAACGAUUUUUACCACUGUUCAAACUGUUUAUCAAACUGCUUUACUUUGAAAUGUUUUACAAACUGUUUUACUAUCCAAACUUACUUAUAGACUGUGAUUUAAACAAAUGCUUCUUAUACUUAAACUGUUUUAUUAACUUAUGCCUUCAAAUUGUUUUAUAGAUCGACAUCAAGUCGAUCUCCUCUUGAAAUCAUAUUUAUGCUUCAAAUGUUUUAUGAAAACUUAUUUAUGCUUUAUAUAUAUUCAAUUGCAUGCCCAUAUAUGUAUAGAUGUAUAAAUAAUGUUUAAAGGACUUAGGAAGGCCAUCCGCCCUAUUUCCUUUUCGCGCCUUGAGAUGUGGUCUGGUGGGAUUUCGGGUGACCAUCCGAAGGUCGUUUCAAUAUUACUUAUAUAUCAUAUAUACAUAUAUAGACAUAAAAGUACUUCCAUAUUCAUACUCAUCAGUACAUCAUUAGCUGGUUACCAUCGGGGUAACGCAGGAUCAUACAUAUACAGAUAUACUAGAAACAAUACAUAUACAGAUAUACUAGAAACAAUACAUAUACAGAUAUACUAGAAACAAUACAUAUACAGAUAUACUAGAAACAAUACAUAUACAGAUAUACUAGAAACAAUACAUAUACAGAUAUACUAGAAACAAUACAUAUACAGAUAUACUAGAAACAAUACAUAUACAGAUAUACUAGAAACAAUACAUAUACAGAUAUACUAGAAACAAUACAUAUACAGAUAUACGAGAAACAAUACAUAUACAGAUAUACGAGAAACAAUACAUAUACAGAUAUACGAGAAACAAUACAUAUACAUAAAUACGUAAUAAUUGUGAUCCACUGUAUCGGGCAUGCCUUAAAUGUCAUGGCCCGAGUUGUAGCCAGAAUUCUCUUGGAGGGAGAGCGUGAGUUUGCGUAUAGAUCUAUACUGGAUUGACUAUCCUACACCUUGCUGCUAGCUACAGCCGGACCUGCAGGUCUGCGGGUGCCAAACGUCAUUUCUUAUUACGACCGUUCAUUAUGUCGUUGAUUAUCAGUCGAUAGCAUGGUGCAAUUAAUCACAAUAUACCUUAAUAUAAAUCCGGUUUAAGGUAGCAGUAUUUAGUACAGUAGUAGUCUUAAUAUACAAAGCUACAGUACUACAAUGAUUCACCCAUUACAUAUUUUAGUGAUAACCUCACUUAAGCAUUAAUGUACAAACUAUAUUUUUAACAAAUGAUAGUUAUAUUUGGGUAAUCACACACUUUUACAACAGAAAAGUUUACAAAACAGCCUAGCCUUGGUAGAAGGUUACUUUUAUAGAAAAUAUAGGAUUUUCUGAGGGUUUCAAACUUUUACAAACACUUUCAAACAUUUACUUACAUUUUUACAACUUAUACAUUGAGACAGGUUCAAACGUUUUUACAAGAAACAUUGACACUAAAAUACUUAUGAACUCACCAGCUUAAUGCUGAUAAACUCUUUCAAAAUAACUUGUAUUCUCAGGUCAUCAGUAGACAGGUACCGAGGCCAGCUUUUGAGAAGAUGGAGUGCAUUCAAGACUCAUCUCAUAUUAUUUUGUGUUUCAUUAUUUUUGGUGUCUAUAACUGUACAGAACACACUUGUAUUAAAAUUAUAUAUUUAAUGCAAUGGAUGAUGUUGUUUGCUUAUUUACAUUUACUGUGUUGUGAUACUAUACAUGACGUCCUCCGCCCCAGAACGUUUCCGCCGUUCUUGGUUUUGGGGUGUGACAAUUUCCAAAGGAAGGGACAUUGGUUAUGAAGCUACCCUAUUUGCCUGAAGGAUCAUAAGGUUGGUAAAGUCAAAGAGUUUGACUCUACUUUGGGUAAAGUGCACUAUCUAACUCUGUUAAGUUCCUAUUCCGAGAUUCUUGUUACAUGAUGGGACUAGGUCGCAUGUUGAUGUUUUAUGAAUCAAAGAAAAGAGAGGAAGCUUAAAGGAAGUAUAUGCUGAUUCUGAUCGCGAAGAUGGAUUUCGAUCGCAUGGUUCAGUGAUCAGAAUUUUUGAGCUAUUACUUAAGAGUUAUGAUAUUUUGCUUAGGAAUAAAUAACAACAAGUUUUCAUAUGCAUUUGCAUUGUAAGGAUAAGUUUUUCCGCAAAGUUUUAAAAUAAAAGAAAAGGUUUUAAUUUUAUUUUUUUUAAAUAUCCUUACAAGUGGCAUUUGUGAAAAAUGGUUGUUUAUAUGGUUCCAUUGAUAGCAAUAAUGGAAAUGUGAAUUUGAUUCUUUCAUUUGUGGUAGUGUCUAAAUUUACCAAAUAAGGAAAGAUUCUCAUCACCCAAGUUUCAAUUGGACCGAAACAUGGAAUCCUACAAGUUGUAUAGUAUGAUGAAUGAGAAUUUUCAUCUUUGGAAAAUUAAGACUAAUUCCUUUUUUACAUGUAUCUGUGAGUCAGGUGAAGGACUAAGGGAUCGAGUACACAUUCUUGUGCACUGGUCAUGUCUACCACAAAAGAUCGAUAAGACUAUUCGUCAUGAUUUACUAAAGUUUAGUAAAUAUGGUUAUACUUACAAGUUUAAGUAUAAUUUUGAAACAUUGUAAAAGUUUCAAUGUAUGGCAGAACGAAUGAGAAGAAUCAAAUUAGGUAGAAAGAUAAAAGUUUCUCAAAUCUGAAAAG
Molecule: long non-coding RNA, 21107 nt
Filed under: Lactuca sativa (garden lettuce)
Lineage: Eukaryota; Viridiplantae; Streptophyta; Magnoliopsida; Asterales; Asteraceae
Description: long non-coding RNA (LSAT_LNC008598)
Source: RNAcentral